RNAcentral lists this ribosomal RNA (397 nucleotides) under uncultured bacterium. RNAcentral's name for it is "bacterial SSU rRNA". It matches the Rfam family "Bacterial small subunit ribosomal RNA", at positions 29 to 406 of the family's 1533-position model. The record is from RNAcentral.
AACGAACGCUGGCGGCGUGCCUAACACAUGCAAGUCGUGCGAGAAAGUUCCUUCGGGAGCGAGUAAAGCGGCGCACGGGUGAGCAACACGUAGGUAACCUGCCCCCCCAGUCUGGAACAACUAGAGGAAACUCUAGCUAAAUGCCGGAUGAGACCACGAUCCCUUCGGGGGGUUGCGGCCAAAGAUGGCCUCUACUUGUAAGCUAUCGCUGAGGGACGGGCCUGCGGGCCAUUAGCUUGUGGUGAGGUAACGGCUCACCAAGGCUGUGAUGGCUAGCUGGUCUGAGAGGAUGACCAGCCACACUGGGACUGAGACACGGUCCCAGACUCCUACGGGAGGCGGCAGUGGGGAAUAUUGCGCAAUGGGCGAAAGCCUGACGCAGCGACGCCGCGUGGGU